RNAcentral lists this long non-coding RNA (1713 nucleotides) under Oncorhynchus mykiss (rainbow trout). Its description in RNAcentral is "lncRNA (ENSOMYG00000074209.1)". The record is from RNAcentral. Lineage: Eukaryota; Metazoa; Chordata; Actinopteri; Salmoniformes; Salmonidae.
AUGCGCGAGCACUUAGUUCAGACAAAAAGUCCAAAAAGUUAUAUUACAGUUCUUAGAAACAUGUCAAACGAUGUACAGAAUCAAUCUUUAGGAUGUUUUUAACAUAAAUCUUCAAUAAUGUUUCAACCGGACAAUUGCUUUGUCUUUAGAAAUGAAAAAGAACGGACCUCGCUCUCACGGCCGAGCGCAUGACUUAGCUCAUGGCAUUCUGCCAGACCCCUUAGUCAAACAGCUCUUAUUCGCUCCCCCUUCAUAGAAGAAGCCUGAAACAAAGUUCUAAAUACUGUUGACAUCUAGUGGAAGCCUUAGAAAGUGCAAUAUGACCCCAUAGACACUGUAUAUUGGAUAGGAAAUCACUUAAAAAAAAACUACAAACCUCAGAUUUCCUACUCCCUGGUUGGAUAUUUUCUCAUGUUUUUGCCUGUCAUAUGAGUUCUGUUUUACUCGCAGACAUAAUUCAAACAGUUUUAGAAAUGUCAGAGUGUUUUCAAUCCAAAUCUAAUCUAACUAAUUAUAUGCAUAUUCUAGCUUCUGGGCCUGAGUAGCAGGCAGUUUACUGUGGGCACCUUAUUCAUCCAAGCUACUCAAUACUGCCCCCCAGUCCCAAAGUAGUUAAUCCUGAUUAUUGUCCUUGCUUGCAUCAUGUACAAGAUGAACCAGAGAAAGUGUAUACAGUGCAGAGGUAAGUGACAACCUUUUAGAAGUUGCUCUUCUUUAACAUUACCGUCUACAGAUGUAUCUGCAUGGGAAGAAGGAGUUGCAUCUUUAUCUUUGAGGUGUUUCUUUUCAGGAUCCGUCUCUCUGACACCAUGUUCAGCAGUCUCUUCUACAGAUGCAGGGGACCAAGAUGGAGACAGUCUCCAUUACGUAGCUCUGAAUCUGAGCAACAAGAAGAACAGGUCUAGAAGACAGAGAGGUCACAUGGAGACAGUGGUGAAUGCUGGGAUCAGACAGUAGAACUGGAUGAAUGAAACAGUCCAAUGAAUUCUCUUUUUAUCAACUCCCACUUUAUUAACAUUAUUAUCUGUAUUACUGUAACACAUAAUUACUGUAGCUAAUUGAAUUAGGUGCAUUGCUUCUCUGCCAAACUAAUUUUAAAUGGACUUGCUUGUGACAAGAUGAAUAAAGCAUUUAACAACAGUCAAGACAAAGGAAGUUGAAUGUAUUUAUUAAGGCCAUACUCAGGAUCUUUAAAGACGCAAUAUGCAGAAAUCACUACGCCAUUUCCUGGUUGCUAAAAUUCUAAUAGUUCACCUAAUUUCAGUUUAUGUGACAAAGCCAUCAAUGCAUGUGUAGAGAAUCAUUGUACCAUCUAAACUCCUUUGAAAUAUAUUUUCAAUAACCCCAAAUAUUGUAUUUUCAGCUGUUUAAAGCUGGUGUACAAAACCAAUACGCAAAAACUAAACUUAAGAACGGGAAGCUUAGAAAUAGAGACCAUAGAACAGAUCUACCACUUCUUAGACUUGCUUUCAAUGAGAAUGAGAAUUAAAUAUCUAUAAUCUACAUUUCUAUGUGAAUUUGGCCGGUUCACACAAAAAGUUCCACAUUGUUGCUUUCAGAGCAGGAAGCAUAGAUAUAGCGCACUUAUAACAGAUCUACCGCUUCUUAAUUUUUGCUGUCAAUGAGAAUGAUAGAUAUAUAACUCACAUUUCUAUGUGAUUUUGGUAAGUUUGCUUAAAAGUGAUGUAUUACAGCUUUAAUUUGAAGUGUUAA